UCCUUGGUCGUAUAUCGGUUAGUACACCCGCUUGUCAUGUAAACAGUGUUCUGCAUAUGUACCGCGGGAAAGCUGGGUUCAACUCCCAGCCAAGGAG
This is a non-coding RNA of Rhodocollybia butyracea, 97 nucleotides long. NCBI's taxonomy places the organism in Eukaryota, Fungi, Basidiomycota, Agaricomycetes, Agaricales, Omphalotaceae. The record is from the annotation of a GenBank genome assembly.